Molecule: ribosomal RNA, 99 nt
Filed under: uncultured bacterium
Lineage: Bacteria
Description: partial 16S ribosomal RNA
Rfam family: Bacterial small subunit ribosomal RNA
Source: RNAcentral
ACCAUGAGAGUUGGGAAUACCCGAAGCCUGUGAGCUAACUUUUAGAGGCAGCAGUCGAAGGUAGAAUCAAUGAUCGGGGUGAAGUCGUAACAAGGUAUC